CUCUUUACCGUCUGACGAUUACGUAUGCGAGCAGAUCUUUGCCGACCGAAAGUUUUACGAUCGUGACCAAACGGGCGAAAGUGGUGUGAGAAGCGCAUCGACCAACGAUGAAAUACGUAUUGCUCAGUAGCAAUGCUCACUGUUAUAGAAAAUAAUAAUAUGUUGCACGAGAGUUGAGUUCAAUUGACUGCCAUUAUGUAGCGAUACGGACUCAUACCCGAUCCAAUUGUUGGAGCAAUUGAAAUAGAUGGAAAACUAACGUUCAUAAAUUAAAAUAUGGAAGAAUGCAAUGGGAAAGUAAAUUUGAUUAACGCUAAAGAGAUCUAUGAAAGGUGGUUUAACAUUGUAAUGGAAUACUUUCGAUUACGUCUAUUUUAUACGUCACCUAAUGGUGCAAAACGGAAUAAACCUAAGAUCCUGAAAGUUUUGUAUUUUUUGAAAAUUAAUAUAAGCUAUAUACAGUUAAUUUAAUAAUGUAAAUAAUUUUAUAAUUUUAUCAAAUUUAGUGUAAUUUUAAUAUUAGUUAAUAAGCCAAAAUAAAUUUUUGUUUAAAGAAUUUUGUAUUUUAUAGAAAAUUAAUAGCUGUAUUUAUAGCUCAUCUUAAUAAUGUAAAUCAUUUGAUCAUUUUAUGAAAUUUAUUGUAAUUUUAAUAUUAUUAUUUCAAAAUGGACUUAAAACAUUUCUUUAAAAGAUAUUUUUUUUUUUUAUUGUUUAUUUAAUACUCUUAGUAUUUUUACAAUAUAACUAGUUUAUAAGUUUAUAGAUAGGCAAUGUAAUACAAUAUAGAAGUAUCGUUUUCAACAAUUAAACGAUUUAAACAAGAAUUAUACAGAUUUUUAAAUAUUAGUAUAGUGAUAGGCACUAUAUAUUUAAAUGUAGUUUUUAGUCAUUUGAUUGGUCCUCUUGGUCUUUAUAUAGAAAGACAACUCGAUGUAAUCGUGAUUUUAGCCUAGGCCUGUUGAUUAUAUUUACAAUUUUAUAGUGGUGUAAUAUUGAUUCUAUGUUCAAUCAAUAUACAUAAUACAUUAUUUCAA
This is a long non-coding RNA of Rhopalosiphum padi (bird cherry-oat aphid), 1034 nucleotides long. RefSeq lists it as uncharacterized. Lineage: Eukaryota; Metazoa; Arthropoda; Insecta; Hemiptera; Aphididae. The transcript has 4 exons. The record is from RefSeq and is a predicted model, not a curated record.